UAGGCACGUAGCUCAGCUGGCUAGAGCACUACCUCGACACGGUAGGGGUCAGCGGUUCAAAUCCGCUCGUGCCUAU
Molecule: transfer RNA, 76 nt
Filed under: bacterium ADurb.Bin243
Lineage: Bacteria
Description: tRNA-Val
Rfam family: tRNA
About the family: Transfer RNA (tRNA) molecules are approximately 80 nucleotides in length.
Source: RNAcentral